Molecule: ribosomal RNA, 198 nt
Filed under: uncultured bacterium
Lineage: Bacteria
Description: partial 16S ribosomal RNA
Rfam family: Bacterial small subunit ribosomal RNA
Source: RNAcentral
UCCUACGGGAGGUAGCAGUGGGGAAUAUUGGACAAUGGGCGCAAGCCUGAUCCAGCCAUGCCGCGUGUGUGAAGAAGGCCUUAUGGUUGUAAAGCACUUUAAGCGAGGAGGAGGCUACUUUAGUUAAUACCUAGAGAUAGUGGACGUUACUCGCAGAAUAAGCACCGGCUAACUCUGUGCCAGCAGCCGCGGUAAUAC